GGUGGCUGACGGAUAUCGUCAGUGGUGUCCAUGCUCGGCCACUUGCGGUUGAUGUUGGCGCCGGCGCGCGGCGUUGGCGAUGCUCGGUGGUGCGGCUGCCUGGUGCGGUCGUUGUGUUUGUCGUCCCCUCCCGGCAACCUGUUGGUCCUGGUCAUGCGAGCUCAGGGGCGAGCGACUCUGCCUGUCGACGGCGUAGUGUCCUCCGAUCCAGGACUAGAGGGCAGGGGGCUCUCUUCGGAGGUAGAGACGAAUGGCGGACCGGAUGGCUUGGCCCAAGGGGGAUGACAGAGCGUGACAAUCCUCCUGCAGCGGGAUCUACCUCGGCUCAGCCGCGGCGUGUGUUGGCUCCUGUUCGCCGAGGGCUUCGAUGUUCAAGCUUGUGCUUGGUGUAUUCGAGUCUUGUUAGUGGCUCCUUUGGUAUCUUGUAUCUUUGCCGUUUUUAGUUUUUUUCUUCCUUUCUUCUUCUUUUUCUUUGGGCUUGAUGUGCUGCUCGCCCCAGCAUUGCGAUGUGUCAAUGGUGGUUUGCUUUGGAAUACAAAGCGGGGG
Molecule: ribosomal RNA, 546 nt
Filed under: Triticum aestivum (bread wheat)
Lineage: Eukaryota; Viridiplantae; Streptophyta; Magnoliopsida; Poales; Poaceae
Description: partial small subunit ribosomal RNA
Source: RNAcentral